GGGUGGCGGGUCUAUAAUGCAGUCGACGGAGUAUGUAGCGAUAUAUACUUAGUGGCGAACGGGUGAGUAACGCGUUGGUGACCUGCCCCGAAGAGAGGGAUAACAGUUCGAAAGGACUGCUAAUACCGCAUGAGGUCGUUGAGUUUAGAGGCUUGACGACGAAAGGAGAAAUCCGCUUUGGGAGGGGCCUGCGUCCCAUCAGCUAGUUGGUAAGGUAAAGGCUUACCAAGGCGAAGACGGGUAGGGGGCCUGAGAGGGUGACCCCCCACACUGGCACUGAAACACGGGCCAGACACCUACGGGUGGCAGCAGUAGGGAAUAUUGCACAAUGGGCGAAAGCCUGAUGCAGCAACGCCGCGUGCGCGAAGAAGGUCUUCGGAUCGUAAAGCGCUUUUCGGGGAGAUGAGGAAGGACAGUAUCCCCGGAAUAAGGCUCGGCUAACUACGUGCCAGCAGCCGCGGUAAAACGUAGGAGCCAAGCGUUAUCCGAAUUCACUGGGCGUAAAGCGCGUGCAGGCGGUCUGGUAAGUUGGAUGUGAAAUCUCCUGGCUCAACUGGGAGAGGCCGUUCAAUACUGUCAGACUAGAGGGCGACAGAGGGAGGUAGAAUUCCCGGUGUAGUGGUGAAAUGCGUAGAUAUCGGGAGGAAUACCAGAGGCGAAGGCGACCUUCUGGGUCGUACCUGACGCUCAGACGCGAAAGCUAGGGGAGCGAACGGGAUUAGAAACCCCGGUAGUCCUAGCCGUAAACGAUGUAGACUGGGUGUUGGCGGGGUAAAAGCCGUCAGUGCCGAAGCAAACGCGAUAAGUCUACCGCCUGGGGACUACGGCCGCAAGGUUAAAACUCAAAGGAAUUGACGG
RNAcentral lists this ribosomal RNA (858 nucleotides) under uncultured Chloroflexota bacterium. Its description in RNAcentral is "bacterial SSU rRNA". It matches the Rfam family "Bacterial small subunit ribosomal RNA", at positions 37 to 916 of the family's 1533-position model. Lineage: Bacteria; Bacillati; Chloroflexota. The record is from RNAcentral.